GAUGAACGCUAGCUACAGGCUUAACACAUGCAAGUCGAGGGGCAGCAUGGUCUUAGCUUGCUAAGGCCGAUGGCGACCGGCGCACGGGUGAGUAACACGUAUCCAACCUGCCGUCUACUCUUGGACAGCCUUCUGAAAGGAAGAUUAAUACAAGAUGGCAUCAUGAGUCCGCAUGUUCACAUGAUUAAAGGUAUUCCGGUAGACGAUGGGGAUGCGUUCCAUUAGAUAGUAGGCGGGGUAACGGCCCACCUAGUCUUCGAUGGAUAGGGGUUCUGAGAGGAAGGUCCCCCACAUUGGAACUGAGACACGGUCCAAACUCCUACGGGAGGCAGCAGUGAGGAAUAUUGGUCAAUGGGCGAGAGCCUGAACCAGCCAAGUAGCGUGAAGGAUGACUGCCCUAUGGGUUGUAAACUUCUUUUAUAAAGGAAUAAAGUCGGGUAUGGAUACCCGUUUGCAUGUACUUUAUGAAUAAGGAUCGGCUAACUCCGUGCCAGCAGCCGCGGUAAUACGGAGGAUCCGAGCGUUAUCCGGAUUUAUUGGGUUUAAAGGGAGCGUAGAUGGAUGUUUAAGUCAGUUGUGAAAGUUUGCGGCUCAACCGUAAAAUUGCAGUUGAUACUGGAUAUCUUGAGUGCAGUUGAGGCAGGCGGAAUUCGUGGUGUAGCGGUGAAAUGCUUAGAUAUCACGAAGAACUCCGAUUGCGAAGGCAGCCUGCUAAGCUGCAACUGACAUUGAGGCUCGAAAGUGUGGGUAUCAAACAGGAUUAGAUACCCUGGUAGUCCACACGGUAAACGAUGAAUACUCGCUGUUUGCGAUAUACAGCAAGCGGCCAAGCGAAAGCGUUAAGUAUUCCACCUGGGGAGUACGCCGGCAACGGUGAAACUCAAAGGAAUUGACGGGGGCCCGCACAAGCGGAGGAACAUGUGGUUUAAUUCGAUGAUACGCGAGGAACCUUACCCGGGCUUAAAUUGCAGAUGAAUUACGGUGAAAGCCGUAAGCCGCAAGGCAUCUGUGAAGGUGCUGCAUGGUUGUCGUCAGCUCGUGCCGUGAGGUGUCGGCUUAAGUGCCAUAACGAGCGCAACCCUUGUUGUCAGUUACUAACAGGUUCCGCUGAGGACUCUGACAAGACUGCCAUCGUAAGAUGUGAGGAAGGUGGGGAUGACGUCAAAUCAGCACGGCCCUUACGUCCGGGGCUACACACGUGUUACAAUGGGGGGUACAGAGGGCCGCUACCACGCGAGUGGAUGCCAAUCCCCAAAACCUCUCUCAGUUCGGACUGGAGUCUGCAACCCGACUCCACGAAGCUGGAUUCGCUAGUAAUCGCGCAUCAGCCACGGCGCGGUGAAUACGUUCCCGGGCCUUGUACACACCGCCCGUCAAGCCAUGGGAGCCGGGGGUACCUGAAGUGCGUAACCGCGAGGAGCGCCCUAGGGUAAAACUGGUGACUGGGGCUAA
Molecule: ribosomal RNA, 1452 nt
Filed under: uncultured organism
Description: SSU rRNA
Rfam family: Bacterial small subunit ribosomal RNA
Source: RNAcentral